RNAcentral lists this ribosomal RNA (253 nucleotides) under uncultured bacterium. RNAcentral describes it as "partial 16S ribosomal RNA". It matches the Rfam family "Bacterial small subunit ribosomal RNA", at positions 524 to 776 of the family's 1533-position model. The record is from RNAcentral.
UACGGAGGGUGCAAGCGUUAAUCGGAAUUACUGGGCGUAAAGCGAGUGUAGGCGGUUGCAUAAGUCGGAUGUGAAAGCCCCGGGCUUAACCUGGGAAUGGCAUUCGAUACUGUGCGACUGGAGUCUGAUAGAGGGAAGUGGAAUUCCAGGUGUAGCGGUGAAAUGCGUAGAUAUCUGGAAGAACACCAGUGGCGAAGGCGGCUUCCUGGAUCAAGACUGACGCUGAGGCUCGAAAGCGUGGGGAGCAAACAGG